UUUUAUAGCCCUUUGGGCCUAGCUUCAAAUUUCUCUCCAGAAUGGUUGGAUCAAUUCACAACUCCACUAACAACGCAGUACUGUCCCAGUUUUCACACAUCCCCUCGGACAUUUAUCAUUUUCCUUUCUUGUCAUAUUAGCCAAUCUGAUGGGUGUGAGGUAGUACUUCAGAGCUGUUUUAAUUUUCCUUUUGUUCUAAUCAAUAGUAUCUAUGCCCUUUCUUACGUGCAGUUAAGGAUAUGUUUGCUUCACAGAGGUUUGUACCUGGAAGGGUGGCAUGGUGUGUGCUCUGAAGCUAGUUACCCACCCUGAUUCCCACUGACGAGUUAGGUCCCCAGUAUAAGACUGGCUCUAUCUCCUUUCAGUGUUCUAGUGUCUUUGUCUUUGUCCUUGUGUUGGGAGCAGUUCAGUUCAAAUCCUCCUUCAGACACUCAUUAGCUGUGGCACCACAGACUGACGAGUCACUUUGAUCCUGAGACUCAGUUUUCUCAACUGUAAAUUGGAAUCUGCAGCCCCUGCCCCCCCCCACUUGUUAUGAGGCUAAGAGGAUGUAUCCAAAGUACUUUGGUUUUAAACCAUUAAACAAGGUCUAUUGUUUUGUUUUGUUUUUUUCCUGGAAAUUUCAAAAAUCUGACUGUCAGAGCUGGAAACGCCCAUUUCUUGGAAUUGCUGGCUAUUCACCUGUGCUCAAAGGCAGAAGACGGUGGCCAAGAACUCAGACCAGCCCUGGAUGAGGAAACCGAGGCCAGACAUCUCUGGAUAAGGACCUGGAGCUCUAGAGCAAGAAGGGACCUUUCAGAGUUGGAGAGUCAAACAGGAAGGAAAUGUCAAAGUCGGGGUUCAAACCGUGUUCUGUGACUCCAGACCCAGCAGGAAAAUCACACUGAACGAUCCCAGGCCAGACAAAGCUUUGGGUUAUUUCGCAUUUGCUGAUGUAAAAACAAAACUUUUUUUUUCAUUUUUGGAUUUUUUCCAGCUAGAUGAAGUUAAAUUUUAAUGUGCAGGCCUGCGCGCACACACACAGACACACACACACACAGACACACACAGACACAGACACACACAGACACAGACACACACGCACACACACACACACACAGACACACACACAGACACACACACACACACACACACACACACUGCUCUGUACUCCUCAUCACCUGUCAAUAUUCCUGUCCUUACCCAGCGAGCGCCAUGCCUGGGAGCCAGCCUCCGCAUGCUUCUUUCUGCCUGAAGUUCUCCCUGAUUCACAGCAGCUGGCAGCAUUGACUCAGUGAAAUCCCCAUCCCUGAUAAACAGAAAGACUGAGCUCCUGUGAAGUGACAGGAUCAGAUCUAAGCAAAACAGAAACCAACCUUCAAAGAGCUAAGAUGCGGCUGCCACCUCCCCCUCCCAGCCCCAGGCCCCCAAAGUCUGAGAUGCUGUGAAGUGAUGGAUGCUGUACUGGACUGGGAAUCAGGAAGACCCAGGUUCAAAUCCUGCCUGGACAUUUCAUAACUAUGUGACUCACUUAACUUGUCCAAGCCUCAGUUUCCUCAUCUGUAAAAUGGAUUCCAUUGCAUUUGUACCCCUUUACUUGUGGGCUGUUUGUGAGAAUUGGAGGAGACAGUGUCCUUAAGGUGCUCUCCAAAUGCCAGUUAGUAUUAAGGAGAGACAGUGGAAUCCUUUUGGGCAUGAGACUUCCCAGCCCCUUUCCCCCCAUGCAGGAGAACUGCCAGGGAUGAAUUAAUGCAGACUCUGCAUGCAAGCUUCAUUUGUUCACCAGAGCUGAGGACUGAGCAAUAUGCAGAAACCCAGCCUGGAGACAAAGGCCUGAUUGCCACUGGAAAUCCCUUCUCUGCCUGCAAUCCCAGGGCUGACUAGUUCUGCACUAUUGUGAGAAGAUCUUAUAUUGUCCUGGUGAGGUGAAGCCCCAGUUAUGCAAAGGGCAGAAUGAAAGAGCUGUGGGUGUGAGGUUACAGAUCCCAUCUGGGCUCUGGAUUUCAAUCCUCAAAGUAAAUAAAAGGGGGCAUCACGAUAAUUCUUCAUAGCUUCGAACAGUUCUAUUUUCCUUAAAAAUAAAUUCUAAUAGAUUUUAUUGAUA
Phascolarctos cinereus (koala) is the source of this 2083-nucleotide non-coding RNA. Lineage: Eukaryota; Metazoa; Chordata; Mammalia; Diprotodontia; Phascolarctidae. The record is from RefSeq and is a predicted model, not a curated record.